CAGCACCUCAAGUGGUCAGGAUGAUUAUUGGGCCUAAAGCAUCCGUAGCCUGCUUUGUAAGUUUUCGGUUAAAUCCAUACGCUUAACGUAUGGGCUGCCGGGAAUACUGCAGCGCUAGGGAGUGGGAGAGGUAGACGGUACUCGGUAGGAAGGGGUAAAAUCCUUUGAUCUAUUGAUGACCACCUGUGGCGAAGGCGGUCUACCAGAACAUGUCCGACGGUGAGGGAUGAAAGCUGGGGGAGCAAACCGGAUUAGAUACCCGAGUAGUCC
RNAcentral lists this ribosomal RNA (270 nucleotides) under uncultured archaeon. Its description in RNAcentral is "partial 16S ribosomal RNA". It matches the Rfam family "Archaeal small subunit ribosomal RNA", at positions 477 to 747 of the family's 1478-position model. The record is from RNAcentral.